RNAcentral lists this ribosomal RNA (534 nucleotides) under uncultured bacterium. RNAcentral describes it as "bacterial SSU rRNA". It matches the Rfam family "Bacterial small subunit ribosomal RNA", at positions 1 to 522 of the family's 1533-position model. The record is from RNAcentral.
UAGAGUUUGAUCAUGGCUCAGAACGAACGCUGGCGGCGGGGCUUAGGCAUGCAAGUCGAGCGAGAAAGCCGCAAGGCGAGUACAGCGGCGUAAGGGUGAGUAAUAGGUAGUCAACGUAUCCUGCAGACGCGGAUAAUUUCCCGAAAGGGAUUGUAACACGCGAUGAGACCACGUUUCCUUCGGGGGAAGGGGUCAAAGAUAGGGGAUCCUUCGGGACCUCGUGCUGUGGGAGCGGACGACCUCCGAUUAGCUAGUUGGCGGGGUAACGGCCCACCAAGGCGAUGAUCGGUAGCCGGCCUGAGAGGGUGUUCGGCCACACUGGGACUGAGACACUGCCCAGACUCCUACGGGAGGCUGCAGUCGCGAAUCAUUCACAAUGGGCGCAAGCCUGAUGAUGCCACGCCGCGUGCGGGAUGAAGGCCCUUUGGGUUGUAAACCGCUGUCAAGAGGGGGGAAACGCAUGGUGUUAACAGCGCCAUGUUUGACUGCCCACUAAAGGAAGCCCCGGCAAAACAUGUGCCAGCAGCCGCGGUA